UUACGGUCAUAUUACAUUGAAACAGCGGUUCCCGUACGAUCACCUAAGUUAAGCAACGUCGAGGUUCGUCAGUACAUAGAUGAGUGACCGCUUGGGAAUACAAAGUUCUG
Non-coding RNA from Acanthosepion pharaonis, 110 nucleotides. NCBI's taxonomy places the organism in Eukaryota, Metazoa, Mollusca, Cephalopoda, Sepiida, Sepiidae. The record is from the annotation of a GenBank genome assembly.